RNAcentral lists this long non-coding RNA (240 nucleotides) under Phoenix dactylifera (date palm). RNAcentral describes it as "long non-coding RNA (PDAC_LNC002722)". Lineage: Eukaryota; Viridiplantae; Streptophyta; Magnoliopsida; Arecales; Arecaceae. The record is from RNAcentral.
ACAGCUCGGCUGCAGAGAACCUCGGCUCGGACAAGCACAUGCCCAGCUCGGCUGCAGAGAACCUCGGCUCGGACAAGCACAGGCCCAACGGGCACAAGAGAACCGAGCUCGGCUCGGACAAGGAGGGAACAUCCCAACGAGCACAAGAAAACCAAGCUUUACGUAAUAGAAAUAAAAAGGAGGGAAUGGGAAUCGAACCUGUUAUCUCAUCCCCACCCAAACAACACACCAACCACCAAG